RNAcentral lists this ribosomal RNA (301 nucleotides) under uncultured bacterium. RNAcentral describes it as "partial 16S ribosomal RNA". It matches the Rfam family "Bacterial small subunit ribosomal RNA", at positions 509 to 807 of the family's 1533-position model. The record is from RNAcentral.
CAGCAGCCGCGGUAAUACGUAGGUGGCAAGCGUUGUCCGGAAUUAUUGAGCGUAAAGGGCUCGCAGGCGGUUUCUUAAGUCUGAUAUGAAAGCCCCCGGCUCAACCGGGGAGGGUCAUUGGAAACUGGGAAACUUGAGUGCAGAAGAGGAGAGUGGAAUUCCACGUGUAGCGGUGAAAUGCGUAGAGAUGUGGAGGAACACCAGUGGCGAAGGCGACUCUCUGGUCUGUAACUGACGCUGAGGAGCGAAAGCGUGGGGAGCGAACAGGAUUAGAUACCCGGGUAGUCCCUGUCUCUUAUAC